Molecule: unclassified non-coding RNA, 352 nt
Filed under: soil metagenome
Description: partial contains 5.8S ribosomal RNA, internal transcribed spacer 2, and large subunit ribosomal RNA
Rfam family: 5.8S ribosomal RNA (bases 1-120)
Source: RNAcentral
GAUGAAGAACGUAGCGAAAUGCGAUAAGUAAUGUGAAUUGCAGAAUUCAGUGAAUCAUCGAAUCUUUGAACGCACAUUGCGCCCGCCAGUAUUCUGGCGGGCAUGCCUGUUCGAGCGUCAUUACAACCCUCAGGCCCCCGGGCCCGGCGUUGGGGAUCGGCGGAGCCCCCCGUGGGCACACGCCGUCCCCCAAAUGCAGUGGCGGUCCCGCCGCAGCUUCCAUCGCGUAGUAGCUAACACCUCGCGACUGGAGAGCGGCGCGGCCACGCCGUAAAACACCCAACUCUUCUGAAGUUGACCUCGAAUCAGGUAGGAAUACCCGCUGAACUUAAGCAUAUCAAUAAGCGGAGGA